UCCUUUUCCCUUGAAUAUUUCACUGCUUCUACUAAUGGUAUCACAGGAAAAAUACCAACUAACUUAAGUAACUUGAGGAACCUGGAGUGGUUAAGCUUGGGAUAUAAUAAGCUUAUCGGUACGAUUCCACCAGAUUUGGGGAACUUGAGGAAAUUGCAAAACUUGAAACUGGACAAUAAUAAUAUAGAUGGAAUUAUACCAAUUAGCCUGUGUAAUAUGGAGAACUUGUUUCUAAUUAGCUUGAGCCAAAAUCAGCUUUCAGGGGAAGUACCAAGUUGCUUUGGAAAUCUUUCUUCUAUAAGAGAACUCUACUUAGAUUCCAAUGCGCUAAUUUCCAGUAUUCCACCAACUUUUUGGAGGAAUAAAGAUAUUUCAGUUGUCAAUUUGUCCUCCAAUUUUCUAAAUGGAUCUCUUGCACUAGAAAUGGGAAACUCAAGGAGUUUGCAGAUAUUACAUUUAUCUGGUAAUCAGUUCUCUGGUCAAAUUCCAAGCACAAUUGGACAACUUCAAAAUUUGGUUAUCCUUUCAUUGUCAAUGAAUAUGUUAGAUAGUCCUAUACCUAAAUCUUUUGAAGAUUUGGUUUCAUUGGAAUACCUGGAUCUAUCCAGAAACAAGCUAUCCAGCAUGAUUCCCAAGUCCUUGAGGAAUCUUAAACAUCUCAUGUAUUUCAAUGUCUCGUACAAUGGGCUCACGGGUGAAAUUCCAGAUGGAGGGUCAUUCGUGAACUUUACAGCUGAAUCAUUCAUGGGUAACCCAGCAUUAUGUGGAGCAUCCCGGUUCCAUGUGAUGCAAUGCAGAGUCAAUAGCCCUAAAAGACCAAAAAAGAAGAGGGUUGUAACUUCUGUUCUUGCAUCAGUUGCCUUAGGAGUUGUAAUGACCACCAUUUUCAUCGUUUGGUUACUGAAAUGCCGAAAAAGGAGUAGGGGACUUCCUCUAGUUGAUAUAUUUGGUCAAGUACAUAGGAGGAUUUCGUACCAUGAUAUUGCUCAAGGGACAAACAACUUUGAUGAAGCAAACUUGAUCGGGAGGGGGAGCCUUGGAUUGGUAUAUAAAGGGACACUUGCAGAUGGAAAGGUUGUGGCAUUCAAGGUAUUCAAUGCAGAAAUGCAACAUGCAUUCAGAAGUUUUGAUGUGGAGUGCCUAGUUCUACGAAGCAUUCGACAUAGGAACCUUGUUAAGGUGAUAAGUAGUUGUGCGAAUUUUGAUUAUAAAGUGUUGGUGCUAGAGUACAUGCCCAAUGAAAACCUUGAUUGUUGGCUUCACUCUCCCGACAAAUAUUUGGAUUUAACUCAAAGAUUAAAGGUGAUGGUUGAUGUGGCUUCUGCUAUGGAGUAUUUACAUGGAGGUCAUUUGUUUGUAGUCGUUCAUUGUGAUUUGAAACCAAGUAACAUACUUUUGGAUCGAGAUAUGGUGGCGAAAGUGAGUGACUUUGGGAUAUCCAAACUUCUAACAGCUGAGACGCUAAUAGCACAUACCAAAACCUUGGGUACUAUUGGCUACAUGGCACCAGGUAAAUGUUACUACCAAGUUAAUUUGAGUAAAUUUUAAACGACGUUAAUUAUUUUCAUUAAUGGGGGGGAUUACAUGAAAUUUCUUGCAGAGUAUGGUUCAGAAGGCAAAAUCUCAACCAAGGGAGAUGUUUAUAGCUUUGGUAUUCUGUUAAUGGAGACUUUUACAAGAAAGAGCCCUGUGGAUGAUCUAUUUGUCGGAGACUUCACCUUGAAAAAAUGGAUAUGCCAAUCAUUACCAAACCAAAUGGUGGAUGUAGUGGACAUUAAUUUAUUUUCACUGGAUGACGAAAAUUUUAUGUUGAAAGAGAGAUGCUUCAAAUCAAUCAUGGAAUUAGCUUUUGAAUGCACAAAUGACUUGCCUGAAGAGAGAAUUAGUAUGGAAGAUGUUAAUGUUCGACUCAAGAAGAUCCUAACUCAAUUUCUGCAAAAUGUAGUGACAAACUAAACGGUAGUGCUGAAGUCUCUAAUGGAAUCAUUUCUUCACGGGCAAAUUGAAAAUAUUCGAAAGAACUUUUAAGAGAUUGAAAAUCUGUCAGUUCAACUGUUUCAGAAAAUUUGUUCUGUGUUUAUUCUUCUUUAUGUACGUAUCAGCUUUCUUCUUUUCCUUUUUUUCUUCUUCCUAGCAUCAAUCUACAACUUAUUGAUAACAUGUGUGUUCAUACAUGAUUAUGUUUCUUUUUUAAACAGAUAAAUCCCCAUAGGAUAAUGGGGCAAGACUCGAAACUUGGUGGAUAAUGGGCCCGCUUCUAUAUCUUUCUCCACACAAAUAGUACUAGGAUUUUUGCGACCUGUAGGGUUCGAACGUCGAACCAUUUGUGUGCACCUAACCUACCAUAUAUGAUUAUAUUUUUUAAUGACGACAAAUCGAUAUUGUUCACAAGAAAUUCAAAUGUUUAUUCAUCUGUAAUCAGUAAGAGAUCUUGUUAACUGAUACCCCUGAAUAAAUUAUCAGUACAUUGGGUGGCUUGAAACUACUUACUACACAAUACAGAAGAAAAUUGCAAUUCCACUAGCACUAGCAUAUUUUAUGAAAUAUUAGCUGAUAGAAGCAGUAGUAAUGCUAAAGGAACAUAUCAAUUAAUAAUACACAAAACACUUACUCUUGUUUAUGUGAGGUGCAUAGAUGAAGCACUUGCCAAAAAUGUGCAUUAGAUGUCCAACUUUUGCCACUGCAAGGAUUAAAGAAGGAAAGGAAACAGUAAGAUUAGCUAGGAACCUAAACUGCUCCUAUAGAAAUGAUAAAAAGAAGCAUAUUAGUUGAGCACUUCACUACAAUUUGACAACUUAACAUCAAGGAGCAAGCCCUGAUCAGGAGUUCAUGAUCGGGAGUUACACCACGAGCACGACUUUAACGUAUGCAAACUAACCAAUACUAUAAGUUCAGAGAAAUGGAAACAACAGAGUGAUUUUUGCACAACAACUGAGAGAAAGAAACAUCUGAGAAACUAGACAGAACAGUACAGACGAAUCCCGCUGGAAACGUAACUAGGAAAUGUAAUUAAAGCACAAAAAGAGUGCCCCAAAUCUAAAUACACUCUUUAUCAUACAGAACGGUAUUGCAUUAAACAAAACUUAGAAUCUUAACCAAAAUUAUACAGGGGAUUGUGGCGAUUUGAAAUCGUAGAACCAGAAAAGCGACUGGUUGAAACAUAAUAACCCCAGGACCAAGAUCUUCCCACUUUCUUCUUCCAUACUUUUCUUUCUUUCUUUAUCUGAUUCGAUUGGAUCUGUAUUUUGCUCUCUUUGUUGACUAAACAAGUCGUAAAUGGGAAAAGCUCCAAACAAUUUGAUCUCCGUUGGACUUCUGUUUCAUUCUUCUUCUUUAUAU
RNAcentral lists this long non-coding RNA (3339 nucleotides) under Nicotiana benthamiana. RNAcentral describes it as "long non-coding RNA (NBEN_LNC028167)". Lineage: Eukaryota; Viridiplantae; Streptophyta; Magnoliopsida; Solanales; Solanaceae. The record is from RNAcentral.